UUCUGGCUCAGGAUGAACGCUAGCGACAGGCUUAACACAUGCAAGUCGAGGGGCAGCACGGGAGUAGCAAUACUUGGUGGCGACCGGCGCACGGGUGAGUAACGCGUAUGCAACCUACCUAUCAGAGGGGAAUAACCCGGCGAAAGUCGGACUAAUACCGCAUAAAACAGGGGCACCGCAUGGUGAUAUUUGUUAAAGAAAUUCGCUGAUAGAUGGGCAUGCGUUCCAUUAGGUAGUUGGUGAGGUAACGGCUCACCAAGCCGACGAUGGAUAGGGGAACUGAGAGGUUGGUCCCCCACACUGGUACUGAGACACGGACCAGACUCCUACGGGAGGCAGCAGUGAGGAAUAUUGGUCAAUGGGCGGGAGCCUGAACCAGCCAAGUCGCGUGAAGGAAGAAGGAUCUAUGGUUCGUAAACUUCUUUUGCAGGGGAAUAAAGUGCAGGACGUGUCCUGUUUUGUAUGUACCCUGAGAAUAAGGAUCGGCUAACUCCGUGCCAGCCGCAGC
Molecule: ribosomal RNA, 508 nt
Filed under: uncultured bacterium
Lineage: Bacteria
Description: bacterial SSU rRNA
Rfam family: Bacterial small subunit ribosomal RNA
Source: RNAcentral